CAACCUUUGACAGAAACACGGCGACGUCUACGGUGGGGAUAAGAUCGAAACCAAAGGACGACGCUCUGAUUCAGUCCGAUAUGAUGGAGGAGAAGAUGACGGUCAACCCUGUCCAAGGCUUUUCAAAGGUCAGUGAAAGGUCAAUCAGAGGUCAGUGAAAGGUCAGUGAAAAUGUCACCUGUAAGUUGGGGUCAAACGCUGAAAACAAAUCUUUGUGAAUUUAAG
Molecule: non-coding RNA, 225 nt
Organism: Xyrichtys novacula (pearly razorfish)
Lineage: Eukaryota; Metazoa; Chordata; Actinopteri; Labriformes; Labridae
Source: the annotation of a GenBank genome assembly